CAGUGCCGCGGUAAUACGUAGGUGGCAAGCGUUGUCCGGAAUUAUUGGGCGUAAAGGGCUCGCAGGCGGUUUCUUAAGUCUGAUGUGAAAGCCCCCGGCUCAACCGGGGAGGGUCAUUGGAAACUGGGAAACUUGAGCGCAGAAGAGGAGAGUGGAAUUCCACGUGUAGCGGUGAAAUGCGUAGAGAUGUGGAGGAACACCAGUGGCGAAGGCGACUCUCUGGUCUGUAACUGACGCUGAGGAGCGAAAGCGUGGGGAGCGAACAGGAUUAGAUACCCGCGUAGUCCCUGUCUCUUAUACA
RNAcentral lists this ribosomal RNA (301 nucleotides) under uncultured bacterium. RNAcentral's name for it is "partial 16S ribosomal RNA". It matches the Rfam family "Bacterial small subunit ribosomal RNA", at positions 509 to 808 of the family's 1533-position model. The record is from RNAcentral.